GACGAACGCUGGCGGCGUGGAUUAGGCAUGCAAGUCGAACGGUAUAUAUUCUUUCGGGGAUAUAGAGAGUGGCGAACGGGUGAGUAACGCGUAGGUAAUCUACCUUCAAGUGGGGGACAACCCAGGGAAACUUGGGCUAAUACCGCAUGUGGCAGUAAUGCUAAAGCCGGCCUCUGAAUAUGCUGGUGCUUGGAGAUGAGCCUGCGUCUGAUUAGCUAGUUGGCGGGGUAACGGCCCACCAAGGCGAUGAUAAGUAGGCGGCUUUAACGAGUGGUCGCCCACACUGGGAUUGAGAUACGGCCCAGACUCCUACGGGAGGCAGCAGUCGAGGAUAGUCUACAAUGGUCGAGAGAUUGAUAGUGCGACGCCGCGUGAACGAUGAAGCAUUUCGGUGUGUAAAGUUCUUUUCUAUGGGAGCAGUGC
RNAcentral lists this ribosomal RNA (423 nucleotides) under uncultured bacterium. Its description in RNAcentral is "bacterial SSU rRNA". It matches the Rfam family "Bacterial small subunit ribosomal RNA", at positions 28 to 452 of the family's 1533-position model. The record is from RNAcentral.